UACGGAGGGUGCAAGCGUUAAUCGGAAUUACUGGGCGUAAAGCGCGCGUAGGCGGUCUGGUAAGUCGGGUGUGAAAGCCCCGGGCUCAACCUGGGAAUUGCAUUCGAUACUGCCGGACUAGAGUAUGGUAGAGGGAAGUGGAAUUCCGCAUGUAGCGGUGAAAUGCAUAGAGAUGCGGAGGAACACCAGUGGCGAAGGCGACUUCCUGGACCAAUACUGACGCUGAGGUGCGAAAGCGUGGGGAGCAAAC
RNAcentral lists this ribosomal RNA (250 nucleotides) under uncultured bacterium. RNAcentral describes it as "partial 16S ribosomal RNA". It matches the Rfam family "Bacterial small subunit ribosomal RNA", at positions 524 to 773 of the family's 1533-position model. The record is from RNAcentral.